AUCUUUGCGCUUGGGGCAAUGACGCAGCUAAUGAGGUACUAACCGAGGCGCGUCUAUUGCUUGUUGAAAACUAUUUCCAAACCCCCUCAUUGUUCCUAGGCUUGACCUAGUUCUUUGAGAAUUUCUGGAAGGACUUCCUUCUGGGUAAAGUC
Raphanus sativus (radish) is the source of this 152-nucleotide small nuclear RNA. RefSeq annotates it as U4 spliceosomal RNA. NCBI's taxonomy places the organism in Eukaryota, Viridiplantae, Streptophyta, Magnoliopsida, Brassicales, Brassicaceae. The transcript has a single exon. The record is from RefSeq and is a predicted model, not a curated record.